AUACUCUGGUUUCUAUUCAGAUCGUAUAAAUCUUUCAGCUUUUACUAAAGAUUUCCAUAGAGAGGAACAAUUCUGAGUCUUAACCCAAUUUUUGAGGCCCUGCACCUGCAGGAC
RNAcentral lists this small nuclear RNA (114 nucleotides) under Carlito syrichta (Philippine tarsier). Its description in RNAcentral is "U5 spliceosomal RNA (ENSTSYG00000036802.1)". It matches the Rfam family "U5 spliceosomal RNA". Rfam says of the family: U5 RNA is a component of both types of known spliceosome. The precise function of this molecule is unknown, though it is known that the 5' loop is required for splice site selection and p220 binding, and that both the 3' stem-loop and the Sm site are important for Sm protein binding and cap methylation. Lineage: Eukaryota; Metazoa; Chordata; Mammalia; Primates; Tarsiidae. The record is from Rfam by way of RNAcentral.